GAGGGGCAGGGUGUGGUGGCUCGUGCCUAUAAUCCUAGGCAUGGAUUUAAGAGGCCUAGGUAGGUGGAUCCCUUGAGCCCAGGAGUUCGAGACCAGCCUGGGCAACAUAGCAAAACCCUGUCUCUACAAAAUAUAUAAAAAUUAGCUGGGCAUGGUGGUGUGUGCCUGUAGUCCCAGAUACUUGGGAGGCUAAGGCAGGAGGAUCACCUGAGCUCAGAGAGUCAAGGCUGCAGUAAGCCAUGAUCAUGCCACUGCACUCUGGCCUGGGUAACAGAGUGAGAUCCUGUUUAAAAAAAAAAGCAGGGGCAGGGGCCAGGUGCAGUGGUUCAUUCUUAUAAUCCCAGCACUUUGAGAGGCCAAGUGGGGGCAGAUCACUUGGGUCAGGAGUUCGAGACCAGCUGGCCAACAUGGUGAAACCUCGUCUGUACUAAAAAUACAAAAAUUAGCCAGAUGUGGUGGUGUGGGCCUGUAAUCCCAGCUAUUCGGGUGGCUGAGGUAGGAGAAUUGCUUGAAGCUAGGAGGUGGAGGUUGCAGUGAGCCAAGAUCGUACCACUGUUCUCCAGCCUGGGGCUGAGACUGCCCCACUGCACUCCAGCCUGGGUGACAGAGUGAGAUCCUGUCUCAAAAAAAAAAAAAAAGAAAAAGAAAAAGAAAGAAAAAGAAAAGGGGUCUUGGGCUUGAGGGCUGCUGGUUUUUGUAAAAUCAUUUAAUAUCAUGUGAUUUCUAACUACACGAUGUUACAUUACAUUGAUUAAAAAGAAGAGCAUUUGGCUGGGCGCAGUGGCUCAUGCCUGUAAUCCUAGCACUUUGGGAGGCUGAGGUGGGAGGAUCACCUGAGGUCAGGAGUUCGAGAUCUGCCCAGCCAACAUGGUAAAACUCCGUCUCUACUAAAAAUACAAAAAUUAGGUCUGGGUGUAGUGGCUCACGCCUGUAAUCCCAGCACUUUGGGAGGCUGAGGCGGGUGGAUCACGAGGUCAGGAGAUCGAGACCAUCCUGGCUAACAUGGUGAAACCCCGUCUCUACUAAAAAUAUAAAAAAUUAGCCGGUCAUGGUGGCGGGUGCCUGUAGUCCCCGCUACUCGGGAGGCUGAGGCAGGAGAAUGGCGUGAACCUGGGAGGCGGAGCUUGUAGUGAGCCAAGAUCGUGCCACUGCACUCCAGCCUGGGCAAGAAAGCAAGACUCUGUCUCAAAAAAAAAGAAAAAAAAA
Molecule: long non-coding RNA, 1206 nt
Filed under: Macaca fascicularis (crab-eating macaque)
Lineage: Eukaryota; Metazoa; Chordata; Mammalia; Primates; Cercopithecidae
Description: lncRNA (ENSMFAG00000063806.1)
Source: RNAcentral